This 74-nucleotide non-coding RNA is filed under the name uncultured Lachnospira sp. RNAcentral's name for it is "Cyclic di-GMP-I riboswitch". It matches the Rfam family "c-di-GMP-I riboswitch aptamer", at positions 12 to 83 of the family's 87-position model. Rfam says of the family: GEMM was predicted in a large-scale screen for bacterial structured RNA regulatory elements. Genes associated with GEMM are involved in a diverse array of functions, including chemotaxis regulation, signal transduction, secretion and chitin. The record is from RNAcentral. Lineage: Bacteria; Bacillati; Bacillota; Clostridia; Lachnospirales; Lachnospiraceae.
GCAAAGCAGUCGAAAGGCUGUGACGCAAAGCCAAGGGUCUUAACUGAUUAACAUCAGAAUGACAGCCGGUUGCU